RNAcentral lists this ribosomal RNA (837 nucleotides) under Triticum aestivum (bread wheat). RNAcentral's name for it is "partial small subunit ribosomal RNA". The record is from RNAcentral. Lineage: Eukaryota; Viridiplantae; Streptophyta; Magnoliopsida; Poales; Poaceae.
AUGGUGGGCCUCUCGAACGGCGUCCUGGGCGCCCUGAGCAUCGUGUCCCUGGUGGCCGCCGCCCCGCUCCUCGGCGCGGGCGCCUACCUCCACGACCACGGCGCCUCCACCGAGUGCCAGCGCCUGCUGCGGCUGCCCACCCUCGCCCUCGGCGGCGGGAUCCUCCUCCUCUCCCUCAUGGCCCUCUUCGGCGCGUGCUGCCGCUCCUGCAGCCCGCUCCUCUGGCUCUACGUGAUCGCCAUGUUCCUGCUCGUCGUCGGCAUGUUCUUCGUCGCCGUCUUCGCCUACGCCGUCACCAACAAGGGCGCCGCCACCGCCGCCGACGGGACCGGCUACGGGGACUACCGGAUCGGGGACUACUCCGACUGGCUCAAGGACAAGGUCGAGGACUACGAGACGUGGCAACAGAUCCAGAGCUGCAUGGCCGACGCCGGCGUCUGCGGGGAUGGCCGGUUCAGCGGCCGGCUCGGCGGCGUCUCCGCCGGGAUCGACGCCACCGACUUCUACCGCCUGCAUCUGCCGCUCCUCCAGUCCGGGUGCUGCAAGCCGCCGGCGUACUGCGGGUACCGGGCGGUGAACGCGACGUUCUAUGAGGCCCCGGCGAGCGGGCUGGGCACGGCGGACGCGGACUGCCAGGCGUGGAGCAACGAGCCGAGCCUGAUGUGCUUCCGGUGCAACGCGUGCAAGGUGGGCGUGCUGGCCACCGCCAAGAGCAACUGGCGGGCCGUGGCCGGCGCCAACAUCGCCGCCCUCCUGCUCAUCCUCCUCGCCUACUCCCUCGGCUGCUGCGCCCUCCGCAACCACGACCGGCGUCGCCGCGGCGGAUACUACUACUGA